Molecule: long non-coding RNA, 1927 nt
Filed under: Sus scrofa (pig)
Lineage: Eukaryota; Metazoa; Chordata; Mammalia; Artiodactyla; Suidae
Description: lncRNA (ENSSSCG00065006956.1)
Source: RNAcentral
GAACUUUUGACACGGCUGUGGAAGGACGUCAUGCGUUAGGUAAAGGAAAAUGAACACAUAAUUUAGCCAUAAAAUCGCGGGCAGAACGACGGCGGUUUUAAUUAAUAAGCCUUGAGGAUUUGUGUGUGUGUGUGUGUGUGUGUGUGUGUGUAUGUGUGUGUGUGUGGGAGGAGGAGGUAUAAUGGUUACUGGGGUGCUAAGAAUCGAAAAUCCGAGAUUUUCUUUUGUGAAAUUUCAUGCAAGUUCCUUUGGACACCUUUGUGUCUAAGCAUCUAUUAACUAAGAAUACCAGGCUGACAGAAUUUUUUUUUAACUGUAUUAUCCUCACGUAUGUGUAGACUGUGGACUUUUAAAACAGCAGCAUAGUUAUUUUGCUUCUUGUGGUCUGUGUUUUUAGUUCUUGAAAGCAAAGUUGAUCUGUUUUUUCUGUAUUAUAAGAAUGAAAUAACAAAAGUUGAACUGUUACUAUAAUAUUUUAUCACCAUGAUAUUAGCAGCACUAGUGCUAAACAUAUGCCACCCAGGAGUUGGAGCCAUAUGUUAGGAAGAAACUAAUUGAGUUUUGUGGCUGUGAUCUUGUAUUUGGCUAAAUAUUUAGUUUUUGUUUAUUUGCUAAAUCUGUAAUUCUUGCCAUCGCCUAAGUUUUGUUUAAAUCAUCCAAAAAUAGUCCAGAGCAUUGAGUCCUCUGCCUUUUUGAUAUUUUCUGUUUGAAUUGAUUUUUCUCAAGUAAUGAGAUAAAGUGCCCCCUGAGACAGAUGGUGGACUUAAAAGCAGUGAUGAGAAGGAUUUUUAACACAUCUUUUAUAAUAUAGAAACUAAAAUUUUGCUUUCAGCUUUUAGCUCCUUCAUUUUUGCCAUCACUACUUAUAUACCAGUUAGUGGGAAGAAGGGACAAUGAUUUGACAGGAAAAAAUUUUAUUAAAUAUUUUUAUGAAUAAUGUCAUAUAUGAGAAUUAUAGCACUGUAAUAGUAAAUUUUACUAAAUUUUACUCCUUUCCCUACGUAGAACAUCUCUCAAUUUUCUUGUUUAGGUUAAUUGAAAAUUUUUUUAUCCCAGGCUGGCUGCUUUUAACCACCUGUAUACUCCUGAAUGAAUUCCCUUUUUCCCUUUUGUCUUAACUGUCAAAAAUCAUUGACUGUUCCGGAAAAAUAAACUUCUGGUUAACACUGGCUUCAGUCAAACAUAAUUAUAAGGGUAAUUUGCUUCUUGCAAAUUAAUGAUAUGCAUUCAGAAAAACAGAUUGUAGAAUUAUCUUUUGGUAUCAUCUGUGUCAUCACUUCCCCCCUUUGUGUGAGUAAUUGAGAGCGGCUUUAUUUUAUCGUGCAUUUAGUAAUUACAUUUUAAUUUUUAAAAUUCUAUGGUACAAUAUUGAGCAUAUUUUAUUACAAAUUUGGAAAAAUUUCUCCCUCUGCUCUGACCAACCAGGCAGAGGUCAGGAUUGAGGGACUGUAAAACCCAGAAAAAAGAGAAGGAAUGCAUGAUUAAUAUUCUUUUGUCUUUUGUAGCUUUUCAUAGGUGAGGAGCAUUUAGUUUAUAUUUUUAGUUUAGACUUAUGGGUAGUAGUUAUGACCGUUUUAAAAAAUCUGUAUUUUUUUAAUGUAGAUACAUACAUCCAAGGCUUGUGCAUCUUCUGUUUUGCCUUUAUUUUAAAAAUACAAUUUGAUGAAGUAACCUAAACAUUUUUUUUUAAUGUUCUCAGUGCAUUUUUCUAAGAAAAUGAAUCUAAAUGGUAUCUUGGAGCAUGAUGUAGGAAUAUGCAUGUCAUUUCCAAUUUUAUUAGCCAGAUAAUCAAAAGAUAAAUCUCCUUUUUUUCCCUCUAGUAAUCUCUAGCAGACUUCAAAUAAAUUCACAAUAUUGUAAAUCCAAAGGUUUAGAAUACUCUGCAUGUCUAUUACAUUGAGUCUUUUACUGCUCUAGUUUAUCUCAU